GACGAACGCUGGCGGCGUGCUUAACACAUGCAAGUCGAACGGAAAGGCCCUGCUUUUGUGGGGUGCUCGAGUGGCGAACGGGUGAGUAACACGUGAGUAACCUGCCCUUGACUUUGGGAUAACUUCAGGAAACUGGGGCUAAUACCGGAUAGGAGCUCCUGCUGCAUGGUGGGGGUUGGAAAGUUUCGGCGGUUGGGGAUGGACUCGCGGCUUAUCAGCUUGUUGGUGGGGUAGUGGCUUACCAAGGCUUUGACGGGUAGCCGGCCUGAGAGGGUGACCGGCCACAUUGGGACUGAGAUACGGCCCAGACUCCUACGGGAGGAAGCAGUGGGGAAUAUGGCACAAUGGGCGGAAGCCUGAUGCAGCAACGCCGCGUGCGGGAUGACGGCCUUCGGGUUGUAAACCGCUUUCGCCUGUGACGAAGCGUGAGUGACGGUAAUGGGUAAAGAAGCACCGGCUAACUACGUG
RNAcentral lists this ribosomal RNA (468 nucleotides) under uncultured bacterium. RNAcentral's name for it is "partial 16S ribosomal RNA". It matches the Rfam family "Bacterial small subunit ribosomal RNA", at positions 28 to 507 of the family's 1533-position model. The record is from RNAcentral.